RNAcentral lists this ribosomal RNA (489 nucleotides) under uncultured bacterium. RNAcentral's name for it is "partial 16S ribosomal RNA". It matches the Rfam family "Bacterial small subunit ribosomal RNA", at positions 28 to 507 of the family's 1533-position model. The record is from RNAcentral.
GAUGAACGCUAGCGGCAGGCUUAAUACAUGCAAGUCGAGGGGCAGCAGGACUGUAGCACUACAGUUGCUGGCGACCGGCAAACGGGUGCGGAACACGUACGCAACCUACCCAAAACUGGGGGAUAGCCCGGGGAAACCCGGAUUAAUACCUCGUAACCUUUUUAAGUGGCAUCACUUGAUAAGUAUAGCUCCGGCGGUUUUGGAUGGGCGUGCGCCUGAUUAGGUAGUUGGUGCGGGUAACGGCCCACCAAGCCUGCGAUCAGUAACUGGUGUGAGAGCACGACCAGUCACACGGGCACUGAGACACGGGCCCGACUCCUACGGGAGGCAGCAGUAAGGAAUAUUGGCCAAUGGACGCAAGUCUGAACCAGCCAUGCCGCGUGAAGGAUGAAGGUCCUCUGGAUUGUAAACUUCUUUUAUGGGGGACGAAACCCGGAUAUUCUUAUCCGAUUGACGGUACCUCAGGAAUAAGCACCGGCUAACUCCGUG